Molecule: transfer RNA, 73 nt
Filed under: Candidatus Microgenomates bacterium
Lineage: Bacteria; Candidatus Microgenomatota
Description: tRNA-Thr
Rfam family: tRNA
About the family: Transfer RNA (tRNA) molecules are approximately 80 nucleotides in length. Their secondary structure includes four short double-helical elements and three loops (D, anti-codon, and T loops).
Source: RNAcentral
GCCCAAGUAGCUCAGUUGGCAGAGCGCAGUCUUGGUAAGACUGAGGUCAUCGGUUCGAACCCGAUCUUGGGCU